AAACUUAGGAUAAAUUAAACCAUGGACCUUCAAAGCCCAAAACAUGAAAUAUAUACCUUCAUAGUUUCUGA
This 71-nucleotide transfer RNA is filed under the name Anolis lososi (Lososs anole). Its description in RNAcentral is "tRNA-Trp". The record is from RNAcentral. Lineage: Eukaryota; Metazoa; Chordata; Lepidosauria; Squamata; Anolidae.